This 76-nucleotide transfer RNA is filed under the name Citrobacter phage Mijalis. RNAcentral's name for it is "tRNA-Thr". Lineage: Duplodnaviria; Heunggongvirae; Uroviricota; Caudoviricetes; Andersonviridae. The record is from RNAcentral.
AUCCUUGUGGGAGCACCAAUUUGAGGUCAAGUGAAAGACCGCUUGAGUCAACUGAAGACCGUAACAAAUUCCACGG